AGGGUUUCUGCUCUGGUCAGGUAGAGCUGCAGCAGCCCAGCCUUGCAGGGUGGAGGAGCACAGGGAUGGAAAGCCAACGGGAAGAAAAGCAAGAUGUGGAUAUCCCUGCUCCAUCAGGGAAAUUGGUUCUGAAAGUAGACAGCUACCCCAGGGAGGCAGGAAUAUGACCAAAUCCUGGAAGCACAAAUCACUGCAGCAAAUGCUUAUAUGUAAGCCCCACUGGGUAGAGACAGGAAUCUCUACUAAUUCCCUAUUCUGCUGCUGAUUUCCAGUGAAAGUGUGAGCCUCCAGAAGGGACCUGGAGAGGUAUGACUAUGGGAGAAGCCCCAGAGCUGAGGGGUCUGCACCAAGACUUGGAAACCUCAUACUCUUACACCAGAGAUCAGCAGCAAUCCUUUCUUCUUCCCAGAGCCACCAGUCUCUGGGUCAAGGGAGCUGCCAUGUUUCUUGCUUCUCUGUCUUGUUUUCCAUUAGUCACUGCUGGCUGACUGUUAUGGAAAUCAUCAUGGUCCUGUUAGUGCUGUGGAUGUGUGGUACAUGCAUCGCUGGGCUUGUGGAAUUACCGCAGGGAUGAGCUGGCAAGUCACUAGCAUGUUUGAGCUGGUAGUCUGGCUCCAGAAAUUGUUGCCUCUUAAGCUGUCAUAUAAGAGAUGGUCUGAAUGCACUCAUGGCAGAGAUGCAAACAAUCCACCUCCUUUCUCAGUAUGCCCUACACGUGGACCUGGUUAAGGGAUGUUUCUAUAUUUCCCUAUACAAAACCUGGUUUGCCUUCCUGCUGGCAGGCAUGGGUCUUAUUCUGGUCUCAUUUACACUGCUGUCAACUGGAAGUAACCCCUCUGAAGCCAGAAUUUAAAAUGAAGCUUCUUGCCACGUUUACAUAUUCUACUUCUUACAGCAUAAUUUGUCCUAGUUUAAGUACCAAAUGCUUUGUAGGAAUUUCAUUAUAGAGCACAAGUUUUGUCAAAUGCAUUCUGCUCGUUUUGCUGGAGGUUGCUAAGCAUAGUCUAUUCCUUCUGAAUCCUUUGUACUAUUAGUAUAUUUGCCCAUGCUACAAGAAGAAAUUAAAAAUACAGCAUGGAAGAAAAUACAGCUUUGUCUCAUGUUCCUGGGGAAAAAAAAAAGGCAGGGGAAGGACUUUCUGUACCUGGAAAACUAUCUCCAGUGGCUCUUUGGGAUGCAGAUAUGGACAACCUGAGGGUAAUUUGGAGGGUCUCAAACUUCUUGCCUAAUGGCACAGCAGUCAGUGCUGAUAAUUGAUUUCAACCCGCCUGUGAGAUGAACACCUGCUGUGCAAUAUGGCUCUGGUAGGAUUUUCUCCCUGCAUAGCUGGAGCAAAAUCCCUGUUGUUGACCACAGGAUUGGGUCCCUAUUUGCUAAAACCUGAACUGUAUCCCAGUGCAUUGUUACUACGCUACAACCGUUUCUGCUGCAGUAUGGUUUAAAUACCUUGCCUUGACACUUAGGUGUUUUUGUGGAUUUUAAUGGGCUUCUUUCUUUCAAAGCAAAUUUAAUUCCGUUACUAAAUAAUGCAUUUGGCCUCCAACCUGACUUGUGCUAAUUACUCACAUGCUGAAUGGGUUUUAAAUCUUGUUUGGAAAUGCUAUAGAGUUUAUUGUCUUAUUAAAAGCACCUAAUGUGAGCUUUCCUUUUUCUUUAAGACUGCAAUUGGUCUCUAGUGAAAAUGAACAGAUAAUGCAAUAAUUUUUCACUAAACUAAUUAUCAGAGCGGAAGAUGCUAAUGUGUGUUGCCAACUGUGUCUUAUGUCUCCUCGGUUAACAUGCUGCAUGGUCACGGCUGUUCAGCAAGACUUUACAUCUCUGGAAGCAGAAAAGAGGCUGAAUUAAGCUUACCCAUUGCUCACUCCGUUUUGCAGUCAUGUUAACGUGUUCAAGCAGUGCUACCUCCACCUGCACUUAGUGUUAAUCAAGUGGGGUUUCUCCCACAGAGGACUAGCAGGGAAUUAACUUAUUUCUAUGGGUAUAGGAUGUAUGGGUCUCCUGCUUGCAAAGAUCCCAAGCACCCAACCUUCAACCAUUGCUCUUCUUCAGCUGUGCUGGAAAUCAAGAUACCUGAAGUCAAUGACCGCGUUUGAAAAUGUUCAUGACAUGUUUCUUCAAGCACUGAAAUAGGUCUCUGUGCACAAACACGUGUGAUCCUGACCAAAUGCAUGUGCUGGGGCUGACGUAUAUUACCAAGAAGGAGUUCUCGUUUUCAAUGUAUUGCAGCAUGCAACAAGGGUGUGCUUUGAAAAGCAACAAAACAAACCAAGAGUCUGCAGGACCCCCGCCUCUAGAUGCGCAAAGCCUGCAGAAGCGCUGAGUGCUGGCAGACAUGUCCCGUUGUGGAAAGAAGGAAGAAAUUAGGAGUGAAAGAAGAAAAGUGAGGCUUCACCUUGAGCAAACGCGGUGUGUGCUUCUCCAGCUCCCCUCGGAGCAGGCUGCAUUUGAAAGCAGAAUUGGUAAGGACUGGGAUUUGCCUGUCUGAUUGCUGUUACUCCCCCAAACAAAUAAACAAAACAAUUAUCUUUGAAUGUUACCCAGGCUAAUGUGUAGAGCUGGCACUGGGGAGUAAAGAGAGGAGAGGACACCAGGCUAAAAGCAUUAAUCGGUAAUGGGGUUUGUAUAUUUGUCAACAAGGCGCUCGGCUCGGAGAGCUGAACAAAAAGGAAGCAAGCUGCAGAAAAACAAAUGCAUACCAAGCCUUGUCACUGAUAUUUGUUUAACAGCCUGUCACAAGCAGCAAAUGAGGAUCAAAGGUAGGAAAGGCAACGAAGGAGCGGUUUCAGUCCAAGGCAUCCAUUCUGCAUUGCAUCAGGGUUCACUCCUGGAUCAGGGUGCAUUCUGCCACAUUGUGUUACAUCAAGCGAGUUGUGAAAUGAUGGAGCCUAAUGCAGAAUCAUUUUACUGGCCUUCCACUUAGUUACAGCUAUUGAUCCUGCCCCCUCAGCAUGAACAUGCAGGGUAAGGCUCCUUGAUUGUUUUGGUGAUGGAGGUUGUAGUGCAUCACUUCUCUGCUGGGAUGCUACUGGAGAGAUGCACAUUUCCCCUUUGGCCACCUGAGCAGAGGUGACUGCUGGCCCCAGAGGACCUGCAGAGUAACUGCCCUCAGUUUUCUGCCAAGCAGCCCAGACAUGAAGCUUACCUGGUUAAGAGAUGAAGAAGAUGGUGGUGGGAACAACUGAGGGUGCAGGCAGACAAAAUGCCAGCUGAAAAAAAAGCAGCAUUGUUUAACUAUUAAAGAACAAAAUGAACUGGAAAGUCAACUCAUAAUUUUUCAUGUGUUUGCAUCAGAAAACAAUUUGGGGAGGGAAUUUAAUUAAAUUAUUGGAGUUUCUUCAGAAGUUUUACUGGCAAAUGCUGCUCUUCCCAGCCAACCCCAGUGCUAAGACAAAUCAUCAGUUAGAGGAACUGCAGCAAAUACUGGAAUCAACUGAUUUAUGGUAUUUUUUUGUUCUGUCAAACAAAACCACUUUCUAUACUGAGCAGUUCCUUAAAUUUAGCUCAUAUUCCCCCCCUGAAGAUGACUGUGCAGAUCUGUCUCUAGCAGAAAGGAGCUGGCUUGGUGACUUUCCACUGCCAUUUGCAGCGCUGAUGGAAGCACCAACCACCUCAGCUGCUGAAGCUAUGGCAAUUAAUCACGUCCUCCAGCUGCAGAACGUGCAGCUCCUGGCCAUGCUCACGUGCAGGUGUCACCUCCAGGAUUAAUUGGUAUUGAUGAACUUGCUUAGCAACCACACGCCAAUUGGCACUGAUCCCUGGGGAUGCGCAGCUUCCCCAUCCUCAGCCAGGAACACUGACCUUGUGGCAGAGUAAUGCUGGGGAGCAAGAGGUAAAUGAGGGAGGGCUUGUGCCAGCUCCUCCCCAGCCACCACCACAUGGUGGUGGCCAUGUGGGCUGCCUGGGUGUGCAGCAGCAGUGCCAUAUUUCAUAUUUGAGCCCUGUUUAUCCUCUGCCUAAGCCUAGACUGGCAGCUCCAAUAUCCAGCUGUUGGCUAACAAGAGAAAGCAUCUUUGGUUUCGAAAAUGUUUCUCAUGUUUCAUUAAGCUGAUGGCUUUGGAUGGGAGUUGCAGUAGUGUAAUCCAUGUGCUGACAGCGCCCCUCGAGACUUGGGCUGGGGAUAAUCACAUCCUUUUUAUGCUGCUAAUAAUUAACUAUUGAAACAAUUUACUAAUGGAUGUAGUGGCUUCUUUAAAUGAUGAAUUGGUAUGGUUUAGCACAGCUAUGUGGCAUAGGCUUGAUGCAAAUAUUACUUGAGUGCAAAGCCAGUCUGCAUUAUAGCCUGUUGAGGUCAGAAUCUAUUAGCCAUAAUUCCUCUUAGCCUAAAUUCUCUUCAUCUUUAGAAAUAAGUUUUCAUACAGAAAUUAUUCCAAAACCUUCAAAAACAGAGCUGCAUGUGCUCUAUCAUAUAGCAAUGUAUGAUCUUAUUCGCUAAGUGGAGGAGAGGGAUGUUUAUGUAAACUGCAGCCAAAAAUACAGUAGUAUUGCCAAAAAGAGUAAGUUUAUCAGCUAUUUUAGUUAAAAAUGGGUAAACUCCAUGUGCAUGAAUAGAUUAAAUUAUAUUUAUUGGCAUGCAUUGAAUGGGUCUAAUCAGAGUAAUGGCUGUUGAAGGGGUGUAGCAUCUAUUAAUUGAAUAUGGAGACUAGUUUCACCUGAUUUUUGUUUUUAGUGGUUUCCACUAUUUGCAAAACAACUGUCACAGAAAGCUUCACAUCCGAGAUCUCCCAGAUCUUGUCAAAUUAAUUUCUGAACUCUUGACACUUCUGCACCAACUGUCCUAAUUCUUCUCGUAGCGUUUGCUUAAGACGACUCUAAUAACUAAGUCAUGUCUGACAGCCUAAAGAUAAGCUGUUAUUUCUCUCAAAGAGAUGACAGUUCCCAUUUUCAAAAGCAGAGGAAAGGUUGCUCACUGUUUUACUUCCUGCAGCAGCAAAAUUUUCAGGCAUGGGACUGGCAAAACAAAGAGUUGCUUGCUGUAGGUAAAGGGUUUUUUCUUUGCCUCUCACCAUUGCGCUUGGAUGGAAAGGUCAGGUGUGUCAGAGAUGGUUAAGGCUUUGAAGAAGACAGAUGUGUGUAUGCAGAAAGAACAUAAAGGGGAUUGGAAUAGCUUAAAGGAAUAAGCGGAAUUGGAAAGAUCUGGGCUUUAAACUUCAUUCUGCAAUUGAAGUCAUUGUUAGCUCUCUCCCCCACUGAGGAAAAAAUGUCUUGGAGGGGAAAAAAGGCAGAAAAAAUGAAAUAUUAAAUGCAUAUUUCUGGCUAGUUAUCUCAACUGCUGGAAUUGCAGCAGUGCAGAUUACUCCAAGCUUUUAGCAAUUGAGUAGAAUCCACUUCACCUUUCGUCUCCAACUUUGUUUCUUCUUCAGCCCUCCGCUGGGAUUGUGGGAACAAGCGCUGGCUAUACUACAAAAGAGGGGAAGGAAAAAAGGUACCCUGCAGGCUACAAGCGUGGAGAAGGUAGGAGUGCGUGUGUGCAGCCUGGACCCAGCUGGUCUCUUAUUCUCAGCAAGGCAGAUAUCUGUACAACAAUUGGUCAGGUUUGCUUAGAAGUUUAGCAAUCACAUCUUCUGUCUUUAGCCUCCUGCCCAUCCCCGAAGGGAGGGAGUCCCUGUGGUCCCCACAACCUGUCCCAUGCCAUGUGGCAACUGCUGCCCCACAUGGCGCUAUGAUGCUCUUUCAGUAUGGCAAAAACCUGUGCAUCCCCAGCCCGGUGUGUGCGCGGUAUUUCAUCUCAUUUUAAAAUACCACCUUGGGAGAAUGGUGUUGGACCACUUGCUCUAAUUCGUUACUGAAAACCCAUGAGGUGAAUCUGGUAUUUGCUAUAUUUAAGACCCUCUGAUAAGGUGGGCACAGCACUCUCCAGCAUCUCAUGGCAUCACGGCUGCCAUCCGGGAACAACGUGCUCCCUUUCCCACCUCCACAAGGCUGCAAACAGGCAAAGAACUGU
Long non-coding RNA from Pezoporus occidentalis (night parrot), 5941 nucleotides. RefSeq lists it as uncharacterized. The transcript is spliced from 3 exons. NCBI's taxonomy places the organism in Eukaryota, Metazoa, Chordata, Aves, Psittaciformes, Psittacidae. The record is from RefSeq and is a predicted model, not a curated record.